AACAACAUGCUUAGUAGAAGAAUCAGGAUUUAGCUAGGACUUACAUAUUCCUAUAUAAUCUAUUUCGGAUCUUAAAGGCUUGCAUAUUUGUAGGGAGGACAAACUGAAGAAAAUAUUCUUUUUUCAAAUUACCCUGAGACCAUAAAGCACAGUUACCUAAAGAGUUCAGCAGUUAGGAAAACGCAGCCAAAUGAGAUCUCCAGCUGGAAGAGACACUUGGUUGAGUCAGGGAUAAAAUGACCUCUAAAUUAUCUAUCACCUCCGGCAGGAUGAAGUCAUGUGUCGUCUGGUCAGGCCUUCCUGGGAUGCUAGGCAGGAUGAGUGCCUGGGAAAAUAGAACCCUUUUAAACUCAAACUCCCUAUUAGUACCCCGACUGAACCUAUAAGAUGAAUUUGAUUCCCAUGGCUCUACAAUAGGUCCAUUAUGUGCUAGGCCAGGCCCUAUGGUUAUUAAGGCAGAUUUGGCUGGGUUUGUACAUGUUUAGGGCCAGUUCUAACCUGGUUCCAGGCCUGCUUAGGCUGGGUUCUGAUGCUAUCCCUACUUCUCCCUGUAGAUCCCUUCAUGAGGGUGUGAGUUGGAGACCUGAGCAUGCAGACCAGGCUUUCCCCAGUGCUUGCCGCCCUGGGCGUGGCCCUACUCCUAUCUUCCAUUGAGGCAGAAGACUUUCAGGUCCUGCUCCUGUAUUCUGCUUGACCCAUUCUGUGCAGUGCUGUGUCUUUGCGCUUGUCUCUGCAGUGUGCUGUCCACACUGCCACUUACACUGCUGCCUUCCGAGAGGACAAGACCCAGGAGAGGGCAACUGCUGCAUCCAGCUCUACCAAGAGGACCCCUGUGGAUGGGGUACCAGGAGUAUGGACAUCGUUGCUCAGCUGCUGACCACCUGGGUCGGGACUGUGACCUUGGUGAUAACAGGAAAUAAAAGACUCCAACAAUG
This is a long non-coding RNA of Nannospalax galili (Upper Galilee mountains blind mole rat), 935 nucleotides long. RefSeq lists it as uncharacterized. NCBI's taxonomy places the organism in Eukaryota, Metazoa, Chordata, Mammalia, Rodentia, Spalacidae. The transcript has 2 exons. The record is from RefSeq and is a predicted model, not a curated record.